CCUACGGGUGGCUGCAGUGGGGAAUAUUGGACAAUGGGCGCAAGCCUGACCCAGCAACGCCGCGUGAAGGAAGAAGGCUUUCGGGUUGUAAACUUCUUUUCUGAGGGACGAAAAAAGUGACGGUACCUCAGGAAUAAGCCACGGCUAACUACGUGCCAGCAGCCGCGAUAAUACGUAGGUGGCAAGCGUUAUCCGGAUUUAUUGGGUGUAAAGGGCGUGUAGGCGGGAACGCAAGUCAGAUGUGAAAACUCAGGGCUCAACCCUGAGCCUGCAUUUGAAACUGUGCUUCUUGAGUGCUGGAGAGGCAAGCGGAAUUCCGGGUGUAGCGGUGAAAUGCGUAGAUAUAAGGAGGAACACCAGUGGCGAAGGCGGAUUGCUGGACAGUAACUGACGCUGAGGCGCGAAAGCGUGGGGAGCAAACAGGAUUAGAUACCCGAGUAGUC
RNAcentral lists this ribosomal RNA (443 nucleotides) under uncultured bacterium. RNAcentral's name for it is "partial 16S ribosomal RNA". It matches the Rfam family "Bacterial small subunit ribosomal RNA", at positions 338 to 795 of the family's 1533-position model. The record is from RNAcentral.